UUAACUAUUAUAUAGUACUCAGACAGUAUAGACAAACAGAGUUUAGGUCCUCUGGCAAGCGCGAGCCAGCCGGAGCCGGUGCCCAGAGGGCGGCGUGCCAAAGCAACAAAUAUAUAAUACGCAAAGGGUGAGGUUUGCUACCCAGAGGGCAGCGAACACUGUAAUGAUCCUUCCGCAGGUUCACCUACGGAAA
This 193-nucleotide unclassified non-coding RNA is filed under the name uncultured fungus. Its description in RNAcentral is "sequence contains ITS1, 5.8S rRNA gene". The record is from RNAcentral. Lineage: Eukaryota; Fungi.